UUCGUCCAAUUGAAGCAGAGGACAGUGGCGGACGGGUGAGUAACGCGUGAGGAACCUGCCUUUCAGAGGGGGACAACAGUUGGAAACGACUGCUAAUACCGCAUGAUGUAUCUGGAAGGCAUCUUCCGGAUACCAAAGAUUUAUCGCUGAAAGAUGGCCUCGCGUCUGAUUAGCUAGUUGGUGAGGUAACGGCCCACCAAGGCGACGAUCAGUAGCCGGACUGAGAGGUUGAACGGCCACAUUGGGACUGAGAUACGGCCCAGACUCC
RNAcentral lists this ribosomal RNA (268 nucleotides) under uncultured Oscillibacter sp. RNAcentral describes it as "partial 16S ribosomal RNA". It matches the Rfam family "Bacterial small subunit ribosomal RNA", at positions 74 to 339 of the family's 1533-position model. Lineage: Bacteria; Bacillati; Bacillota; Clostridia; Eubacteriales; Oscillospiraceae. The record is from RNAcentral.